This 505-nucleotide ribosomal RNA is filed under the name uncultured bacterium. Its description in RNAcentral is "partial 16S ribosomal RNA". It matches the Rfam family "Bacterial small subunit ribosomal RNA", at positions 28 to 507 of the family's 1533-position model. The record is from RNAcentral.
GACGAACGCUGGCGGCGUGCCUAAUACAUGCAAGUAGAACGCACAGUUUAUACCGUAGCUUGCUACACCAUAGACUGUGAGUUGCGAACGGGUGAGUAACGCGUAGGUAACCUGCCUGGUAGCGGGGGAUAACUAUUGGAAACGAUAGCUAAUACCGCAUAAUAUUAAUUAUUGCAUGAUAAUUAAUUGAAAGGUGCAAUUGCACCACUACCAGAUGGACCUGCGUUGUAUUAGCUAGUAGGUGAGGUAACGGCUCACCUAGGCGACGAUACAUAGCCGACCUGAGAGGGUGAUCGGCCACACUGGGACUGAGACACGGCCCAGACUCCUACGGGAGGCAGCAGUAGGGAAUCUUCGGCAAUGGACGAAAGUCUGACCGAGCAACGCCGCGUGAGUGAAGAAGGUUUUCGGAUCGUAAAGCUCUGUUGUAAGAGAAGAACGGGUGCGAGAGUGGAAAGUUCACACUGUGACGGUAUCUUACCAGAAAGGGGCGGCUAACUACGUG